UAAAUGCAGAGUCAUCCCGCCCGACGAUUCUUUCAAGAUUACCCCUUAAAAUUUCAUUAUUUACGGAUUCAUUUUCAUUUUCUGGAGGAUUCUUACUAUCUUCUGAGUCAUCCGGAUCAUUUGCAUCACCGGUUGCAGCGGAAAAAACUGCCCAGCAUUUUCUAGUAUUUAGGUGGCGGCAGCUAUUGAACUUCUGAAUUUUUG
RNAcentral lists this unclassified non-coding RNA (204 nucleotides) under Hevea brasiliensis (rubber tree). Lineage: Eukaryota; Viridiplantae; Streptophyta; Magnoliopsida; Malpighiales; Euphorbiaceae. The record is from RNAcentral.